UUUAGAUGCUUCGCAAGAUUGUGAAUCCUGGUCGAAGCGGCAAGCGAUUUUCCCAUAUAAAUUGAAUACCCAAUCGAAUUUAUAUACCGAAUACAACAAUAAAGAUUUGAACUUUCUAAUUUUUCCUAUUGUUUAUUAAAAUCUUACCUUUUUUCUUUUUAUCUACAGAGCCAUGUAUUUGUGUGUGUGUUGUGGAAAUAGAUGGUUGAGAAUUAAGGAGGGUUUAGUUUACAAAGAGAAGGGACCAAAGGAACUUAC
Molecule: unclassified non-coding RNA, 258 nt
Filed under: Hevea brasiliensis (rubber tree)
Lineage: Eukaryota; Viridiplantae; Streptophyta; Magnoliopsida; Malpighiales; Euphorbiaceae
Source: RNAcentral